Molecule: long non-coding RNA, 3703 nt
Organism: Ctenopharyngodon idella (grass carp)
Lineage: Eukaryota; Metazoa; Chordata; Actinopteri; Cypriniformes; Xenocyprididae
Exons: 9
Source: RefSeq, a predicted model, not a curated record
GCUCGCCCUGAUCAUCUCCACACCUGUUCUUUUUCUACUCUAAUUUUCUCUGCUGUUCUCUCAGCUCUUUGCCAGAUUAUUGUGUAUUCUCUAGCAUGUAACUCAGCUCUUUAUGCUUACUAGACUUCAUUAGAUGUUUUUCCGUAUUGUUAGUCACAGUCUUAGUCUUGUCUGUAUUAUCUAGUCGUGUCAGCGGCGCAAAAAUAGGGUAUGCAGUAUAUGCAGUGCAUAGGGGUGCUGCAUGGAGUGGGAUAACAAGAAAUUGUUCCUGCAAGCUGAGCUUCUCUGGCAGCUUCCUCUCUCCACCAAGCAGCAAGGCCGGUGUAGUGCCUGAUCGUGCCCUGUGAGCCUAUCUACGUGUGCUGUGUGGUCCUGUCUGGCUCUCACUGUGUUAGUUGUUAGAGGAGAUGCAGAAGAAGGGCCUGGUUGUAAUGAACACACCUCCAGUUCUCCCGGCCCCCCCGCUGCCUGCGCCCUCUCCAGCUACAUCUGCUCCUCAAAGCCCUGGAGAAGGUGCGGACGAGCCAGACGAGGAGCCAGACCGCGAGCCAUCGUCUGAGGAGAGCUCUGGAGAGUUCUAUCAGAGGUAAAGUUUCACAUCAUCAUUCUCAGAUAACAUGUGCAGCGAUUGGACAUGAUUUCUCUUGAACAUAUUCACAAUCAUUUGAGCACCUGGUUUAUUUUCUUUCAGCACUGAGGGACCGAGGUGGACCGAUGAAGUCAGGGUGGAGAUGUCAAAAAAGGGCCUGUACAAGAAACACUCCAUCGAUCACCCCCUCCUUCGGGGAUUUAAUCGAUAUUUGCGUGUUGACUUGGGCAACAAAAAGAGCAAACAAGAGGUAAGUGAAAGAAAAGAUACCUUUAAGUGUCACCCACACACUCACGCUUUCACACAGAAAAAUAAAGAAAUAAAUGUGAAGACAAAUGCUCUUCUGAACUGUGUGCUGCGGUCACAUGUUAACCUGUGUUAUAUUCAGCCCUGCAGAUUUUAAUGUGAAAUGUAUACUUACAGGUGGAAGAAGUCUCCAGGUUCAUGUAUUACGUGGACCCCAGUGAGCCGAACCUGAAUUUUGUGCGGGAGGUGGAGAAAGUGCGAGAGUACUUCAAUACACUGACCCAGACAAAGCUCUCGAAGCAGACGGUGCUGAACUACUGGAAGAGUCUCAAGAGGUUCAUGAGGUACAUUGUUACCAGCACCAGCAUCCGUGUCAAAGAUCCCAGCCUGUACAACGACUGCAAGAGCUUCACUGAUCCUCUGGAUGGCAUACGGGCUGGGAUGUCUAAGAAGGUCAACAAGGAGCAGACACAAAAAAGGUCAGUUUUUUUUUUUUUUACUCUUUUUUUUUUUUUUUUUUAUCUAUUUAAUGGAAAGCACAGGUGAGUUCAAGUUCAACAUUACUAUUUUUUUUUUUUCCCUCAGGUUCCGCGGCUACGGCAAGGAAAAAUUUCCGGCUGACUGCAUCACAAUCUUGGAUGCUGCUUAUACGGAUUUCCUGGCUGUCAUGGGCAAACUUCAGGGUCCAGGAGCCAUUUCAGGGGAGGAACUCAGCAAAAACGAACGUCUGCUUGUCCUCUAUUAUCUUGAGGCCAUAAUUAUGCUUAAACUUCUACAACGCCCAGGGGUUGUUACGAAUAUGACCGUAAGUGUAUUUUAGUAACAACAGCAUCUUUUAUUUUCCUUUACCCAUAUGCCUCCUGAUCUUGUGCUUCACAGAUGCGUGUACCUUUUGAGUGUUUGUGACGCCUGUCAUUGAAAGCACACAACUGUCUGUUUUCAGGUUGAGGAAUGGAAGGGGAGAACCCGGCAUCCAAACGGAGCUUCCGUGGCGGUGAAGGAGCAUAAAACGGCCGCGUCGCAAAUAGCAGAAGUACCGCUGACUGAUGACCAAGAACAUUGGUUUGGCCUGUACUUCGAUGAGAUUCGGCCGGUGAUGUUACAAGGUAAUAAGUCAGUGGACAAUGCAGCAGCAGAGCAGAGUUUUUUUGUUUCAAGUACUGGAAGGCCAAUUUAUAACCCCUGCAACGACUUGAAAAGAUUCCAUGCCAAAUACAACAUUCCCAGGGUGACCAGCAGCGACGCUCGGACAGCCUUUGAGACGGCUGCUAAAAAUCUGCCGGAGGUGCAGAGGAAUGCGGUGGCACGUCUCUUGGGACACACGCCGGAAACAGCAGAGAAGCAUUACCGGAUGAAAACUCCGGCAGAUGCAUUCCUGGCCAAGGUUGUGGUCGAUGAGCUCACUGCAAAAACACGAGGUGCGUCUAGUGGGGCUUCUGGCCAAGAGAAAAGGAUGGAUGAACAGACGGCGUUUGACUUGCUGGUUCAGUCCUGCCCAGUGACUCUUGACGGGCCUCCUCCGAAAAGGGCACGCAGACACGAACUGUGCGCUGAACACGAGAGGCACUGCUACGACCGCUGGCGCAGCGAGCAGCUCAAGCUGCGUGAACAGCGUGUCCUUGAAUAUUUCGGUCGGUGUCAGCUGUCUGAGUCACAAGUGGAGGCCUGGGUGGAGAAACAAGGAUGGACGUCUAACGUCCCACAGGCUUCCCUAAUACUCAAGAAAUACUCCAAGUAGCCUUGAACAGCUCCCCUGCGGCUCUGUGGGUUACAAAAAUAAAUGUGAGCGGGCUACUUCCAAGCCACAUUAUUUUUGUGCCUACUUUUCAGCCACAAAACACCACCUCUCUUGCUCUCCAAGUUGCCCUGAAUGACUCUGUCUCUUUUUUUAGUACUUUACUCAAAGAUAUGUGAGCGGGCUAAUUUCCAAGCCACAUAUCUCUUCUCUUUGUCUACUUUUUUGUUUUCAGCCACAAAACACCACCUCUCUUGCUCUCCAAGUUGCCCUGAAUGACUCUGUCUCUUUUUUUAGUACUUUACUCAAAGAUAUGUGAGCGGGCUAAUUUCCAAGCCACAUAUCUCUUCUCCUUGCCUACUUUUUUGUUUUCAGCCACAAAAAAGUAAAAAAAGACCACCAAUACAGAUUUUUUUUUCUUUCAAUAUUCAUAGGCAACUGGAAGUGCACCAGCUACAAAUAACCAAACAUCAGCAGCUCACUCGAGGACCACUACAUGAGGACUCCAGAGAAGAAGAAGAAGAAGACGAAGACGAAGAAGAAGGAGGAGGAGGAUUUGACAGAGGAAGGCGCACGCUGGAUCCAUACGCUGCAUCUCAUUUCGGAGACUGCGUCCUACGGAGGUCGCAUUUGAAGGCUGCAUACGUCAUCAAGGAUGUCUUAUUUAAGAAAAGUAAACGUAAUUAAACAAACUGUUAUUCCUCGUGAGACGUAAAAUACUAUAAUUUCUUUCUUACUUUGCAAUCUAACAGUUAAUUUUUUUUCAAAUGAGACCGCCUCGAUGACAUAUGCAGCCUUCAAAAGUGACCUCCGGAGGACACAGCCUUCAAAACAAGACAGCUAUAAUCAUUAUAUUCUUAUUCUGUACAUACAGAUGCUAUUAUAAUUUUUUGUUCAUGUUUUCAAUCUACGUUUGUCAUUUCUUCUUUUGUUGUUAAUGAUCUGUAUUUGUCAUUAUUCAAGUCUUAUUUGUUGCACUUUAUUAAUCGUGUACCUGUCAUAGGUAUUCAUGUUUAUAUCAGGCAACCAAAAGUUGCAGAGGUCAGAGUGUCAAAAUGCUCAAAGACAAACUAAUUUUGUUAAAACUCUAAUAGAAAGUUGACAUUUUUAUACUUGUAUUGAUUUUUCAUGUU